Molecule: unclassified non-coding RNA, 248 nt
Filed under: uncultured fungus
Lineage: Eukaryota; Fungi
Also listed under: 1 other name
Description: partial contains 5.8S ribosomal RNA, internal transcribed spacer 2, and large subunit ribosomal RNA
Rfam family: 5.8S ribosomal RNA (bases 1-52)
Source: RNAcentral
AACGCACAUUGCGCCCUCUGGUAUUCCAGGGGGCAUGCCUGUUCGAGCGUCAUUGCAACCCUCAAGCCUGGCUUGGUCUUGGGCGUCGCCUCUCGCGGGGCGUGCCUGAAAAGCAGUGGGUGUCCGGCGUGACUUUGGGCGUAGUAAAUUUUCUCCCGUCCUGAAAGCCUCGCGCCGUGGUGCCCAGAACCCCCCAUAACUUUCAAUGAAUUGACCUCGGAUCAGGUAGGGAUACCCGCUGAACUUAA